ACACCUCAACUCUCAUGGCUUGCCAUGAUGAGCUUGGACUUUGGGGGUUUUGCUGGCCUACGGCCGGCUCCUCUCAAAUGAAUUAGCUUGCCAGUGUUUGGUGGCAUCACAGGUGUGAUAAAUAUCUACGCUUGUGGUUUUCCACCAGGUAACCUUCAGUGGAUGGAGGUUCGCUGGGGCUCAUAAAUGUCUCUCCUCAGUGAGGACAGCUCUUUGAAC
This 219-nucleotide unclassified non-coding RNA is filed under the name uncultured Thelephoraceae. RNAcentral describes it as "sequence contains ITS2". The record is from RNAcentral. Lineage: Eukaryota; Fungi; Basidiomycota; Agaricomycetes; Thelephorales; Thelephoraceae.